UACAGAGGUCUCAAGCGUUGUUCGGAUUCAUUGGGCGUAAAGGGUGCGUAGGUGGCGGGGUAAGUCAGGUGUGAAAUCUCGGAGCUCAACUCCGAAACUGCACUUGAUACUGCCUUGCUUGAGUACUGGAGAGGAGAUUGAAAUUUACGGUGUAGCAGUGAAAUGCGUAGAUAUCGUAAGGAAGACCAGUGGCGAAGGCGAAUCUCUGGACAGUUACUGACACUGAGGCACGAAGGCCAGGGGAGCAAACGGG
Molecule: ribosomal RNA, 253 nt
Filed under: uncultured bacterium
Lineage: Bacteria
Description: partial 16S ribosomal RNA
Rfam family: Bacterial small subunit ribosomal RNA
Source: RNAcentral